Non-coding RNA from Chiloscyllium plagiosum (whitespotted bambooshark), 766 nucleotides. The record is from RefSeq and is a predicted model, not a curated record. NCBI's taxonomy places the organism in Eukaryota, Metazoa, Chordata, Chondrichthyes, Orectolobiformes, Hemiscylliidae.
GUUCAUGGAUCCUGGACUUCUUUUCAGUUGGGGAUUUCAGGCCUAGACACUAACAGCUUGGGAUCUGAUCAUUUAUGCUGCCUUCGCUCCAAAUGGGGAGUUCAUUGGUUAAAUGGAACUGGCUAUCUGGUGGAGAAGGCCUAACAGGCCAAAGAUUGAGUAGUGGGCAAGGAAGGCGUUCUCUGAAGGGGUUUCCAUUCAGACCCUUGUACCUGUGUGCUUUUCAAUAAAGCAAUUCUUGGCUUAUCUGGACCAGUUCCAAAGUCUCCUGCAGAUCAUAAUAGCAACCACCAGUGCUGCUGUUGAGUGACCAGGACUUAACCACUCCCGUGGCUGGACCAACAGUGUGGAACGUCCAAACCUGGCAUUCAAGCCGUCAAUCAAGAAGCCGCCUCUUGUACAUUUGUCAAAGAUGUCCCAGUGUCGGCAAGUGCAGCCUCACAUUACACCCUCUGAGCUAAGAAAACACAGCCCUGUGUUUCUGAAAGGCUUCUUGGCUGCAGUUUGACAUAAGGCACACUGUGUGUACACCCCUGACUAAACUAUCCCAAUUUCUCAACUGAUCUUUUAAGCUUCAUUGUGACAAGAAAACCUGCUUUGCUAUACAAAUUGAUGACUUAGGAAAGAUGAAGUUCUAAAACUAUGUUUGUAUUUAUUGGUUAAUUUGCAUAAAUAUUUAGAGGAAGAAGAAUGCUACCCAAUUAUGGCUAAUUAUGCUUCAUCAUGCAGAGUGCAAUUGAAAACCACGCUUCAGUGGUUUUGUAUU